This 67-nucleotide transfer RNA is filed under the name Limosilactobacillus mucosae. It matches the Rfam family "tRNA". From Rfam's summary of the family: Transfer RNA (tRNA) molecules are approximately 80 nucleotides in length. Their secondary structure includes four short double-helical elements and three loops (D, anti-codon, and T loops). Lineage: Bacteria; Bacillati; Bacillota; Bacilli; Lactobacillales; Lactobacillaceae. The record is from RNAcentral.
GUGGUAUAGCCAAGUGGUAAGGCACAGGUCUGCAAAACCUCGAUCACCGGUUCAAAUCCGGUUACCA